This 429-nucleotide ribosomal RNA is filed under the name Chloroflexota bacterium. Its description in RNAcentral is "Chloroflexi bacterium partial 16S ribosomal RNA". It matches the Rfam family "Bacterial small subunit ribosomal RNA", at positions 355 to 776 of the family's 1533-position model. Lineage: Bacteria; Bacillati; Chloroflexota. The record is from RNAcentral.
UGGGGAAUAUUGCACAAUGGGCGCAAGCCUGAUGCAGCCAUGCCGCGUGUAUGAAGAAGGCCUUCGGGUUGUAAAGUACUUUCAGUCGGGAGGAAGGUGGUAAGGUUAAUAACCUUAUCAAUUGACGUUACCGACAGAAGAAGCACCGGCUAACUCCGUGCCAGCAGCCGCGGUAAUACGGAGGGUGCAAGCGUUAAUCGGAAUUACUGGGCGUAAAGCGCACGCAGGCGGUUGAUUGAGUCAGAUGUGAAAUCCCCGGGCUUAACCCGGGAAUUGCAUCUGAGACUGGUCAGCAAGAGUCUUGUAGAGGGGGGUAGAAGUCCAUGUGUAGCGGUGAAAUGCGUAGAGAUGUGGAGGAAUACCGGUGGCGAAAGCGGCCCCCUGGACAAAGACUGACGCUCAGGUGCGAAAGCGUGGGGAGCAAACAGG